UCAAAAACAUGUCUUUUUGGUAAUAAUUUAAAGUCUAAUCUGCCCACUGAUAUUUAUAUUAAAGGGCUGCAGUAUAUUGACUGUACAAAGGUAGCAUAAUCAUUAGUCUUUUAAUUGGGGACUCGUAUGAAGGAUUUGAUGAAAUAUAGACUGUCUCUAAUUUUUAAAAAUAAAAUUUAAUUUUUUAGUUAAAAAGCUAAAAUAUUAUUAAAAGACGAGAAGACCCUAUAAAGUUUUAUAAUUUAUUUAUUUAAUAUAAAAUAUAUAAUUAAAUAUAAUAAUUAAAUAAAUUAUUUUAUUGGGGUGAUAGAAAAAUUUAAUAAACUUUUUUUUUUAACAUAAACAUAUAUAAGUGAUAAAAUGAUCCAUUUAUUAAUGAUUAAAAGAAAAAAUUACUUUAGGGAUAACAGCGUAAUAUUUUUUUUUAGUACAAAUAAAAAAAAAGUUUGCGACCUCGAUGUUGGAUUAAGAUAAAAUUUAAAUGCAAAAGUUUAAAAUUUUGAUCUGUUCGAUCAUUAAAAUCUUACAUGAGCUGAGCU
This 539-nucleotide ribosomal RNA is filed under the name Chlosyne lacinia (bordered patch butterfly). Its description in RNAcentral is "partial 16S ribosomal RNA". The stretch from base 403 to 539 matches the Rfam family "Archaeal large subunit ribosomal RNA", at positions 2542 to 2680 of the family's 2987-position model. Lineage: Eukaryota; Metazoa; Arthropoda; Insecta; Lepidoptera; Nymphalidae. The record is from RNAcentral.